This 526-nucleotide ribosomal RNA is filed under the name uncultured Archaeorhizomycetes. RNAcentral's name for it is "eukaryotic LSU rRNA". It matches the Rfam family "Eukaryotic large subunit ribosomal RNA", at positions 177 to 711 of the family's 3401-position model. Lineage: Eukaryota; Fungi; Ascomycota; Archaeorhizomycetes. The record is from RNAcentral.
GGGCUCAAUUUCCUUGGAACAGGAGGUCAUGGAGGGUGAGAACCCCGUAUGUGGCUUGGGUGCCGUGGUCCUUGUGACGUAUCCUCUAAGAGUCGGGUUGUUUGGGAAUGCAGCUCAAAAUGGGUGGUAAAUUUCAUCUAAAGCUAAAUAUUGGUGAGAGACCGAUAGCAAACAAGUAGAGUGAUCGAAAGAUGAAAAGUACUUUGAAAAGAGAGUGAAACAGUACGUGAAAUUGUUGAAAGGGAAGCGUUUGGCAUCAGCCCAUGGCGGCGGUCGAACAUCUGGGCUUCUGCCCAGUGCACUCGGCAGUCGCCGGGCCAGCGUCGGUUCCACCUGCUGGAGAAAGGCCUUGGGGAAGUGGCACUCCCUUGUGGAGUGUGUUAUAACCCAUGGCGUCAUGCGGCUUGGUGGGACCGAGGUCCGCGGUUUUGUCCUAGGACGCUGGCGUAAUGGUUCCAAGCGACCCGUCUUGAAACACGGACCAAGGAGUCUAACAUCUAUGCGAGUGUUUGGGUGUCAAGCCCGG